Molecule: ribosomal RNA, 302 nt
Filed under: Streptococcus agalactiae
Lineage: Bacteria; Bacillati; Bacillota; Bacilli; Lactobacillales; Streptococcaceae
Description: partial 16S ribosomal RNA
Rfam family: Bacterial small subunit ribosomal RNA
Source: RNAcentral
UUAAUGAGAGUUUGAUCCUGGCUCAGGACGAACGCUGGCGGCGUGCCUAAUACAUGCAAGUAGAACGCUGAGGUUUGGUGUUUACACUAGACUGAUGAGUUGCGAACGGGUGAGUAACGCGUAGGUAACCUGCCUCAUAGCGGGGGAUAACUAUUGGAAACGAUAGCUAAUACCGCAUAAGAGUAAUUAACACAUGUUAGUUAUUUAAAAGGAGCAAUUGCUUCACUGUGAGAUGGACCUGCGUUGUAUUAGCUAGUUGGUGAGGUAAAGGCUCACCAAGGCGACGAUACAUAGCCGACCUG